Ribosomal RNA from Lagopus leucura (white-tailed ptarmigan), 119 nucleotides. NCBI's taxonomy places the organism in Eukaryota, Metazoa, Chordata, Aves, Galliformes, Phasianidae. The record is from RefSeq and is a predicted model, not a curated record.
ACCUAUGGCCAUCCCACCCUGGUAACGCCUGAUCUCGUCCGAUCUCGGAAGCUAAGCUGGGUCAGGCCUGGUUAGUACCUGGAUGGGAGACCUCCUGGGAAUACCGGGUGCUGUAGGCU